Non-coding RNA from Myodes glareolus (Bank vole), 1742 nucleotides. The record is from RefSeq and is a predicted model, not a curated record. NCBI's taxonomy places the organism in Eukaryota, Metazoa, Chordata, Mammalia, Rodentia, Cricetidae.
CACCAAGAAAGAGGGACUAAAAGCUUCGAAACUAGAAGCCAUGAUAAAAUUUCAUUCAGCAAGGAAAACAACACAUGCCCCCAAGAACAGAACAUGAGCUGGGAUUUUUAUAAGAACAUGUGACUCCUAGAGUCUUCCACAGAUCACUGGAGAAGUCAACCAGGGCAAAGUGAGUUCCGUCCUCAGAGCUUCAGUUUCACUGAUGAUACUUCGUUUUAGAAAAGAGACCAAGUACUGCUGUACAGACGUUGAGGCUGACUUUGAAUCUCCUCUGGAGCAUGGGACCUGCCAGGCUGGGAAGUUUCGCAAAAGCUUUCCCACUUCACAUGUAGAGCCGGUUGCUCCCAGCAGUGACCUAACUCGGAGAGGAGACGCUGGGUCUCAUGAUUCUUUGCUUUCCUAACGUGCUGGUGAGAUAGCAGAUCUUCGGUACACAGUGACUUGCUGACUCUGGGAAAGGAGUCAUGCUUCGGGCAGCAGCGUGGAAGGAAGUGAGCACAGAGCGGGGCGAGCACUACUUCUGGAACCCUCUGAAAGUACGGACUGUUCAGGAAAGGCCAAAGGCACGUGAGAUUUGUUUUCAGUUUGAAAGCCUCUGGCUUCAAAUGAUGCAAGUAUCUUUUAAUCUUUUUUUAAAUUGUUGUUAGUGCGGGUAAGAGAUAUGAUUUGAAUAUGUCAGGAAAUGAACUUUAGAAAGCACCCCUUUCAAACAGCUUUGGUAAAAUAAAGUAGCGAGGAAAGGUGUGAGACACAUGGGCUUUGAAGCCAGGGACUUGAGCUCACAGUGCAACUCUGCCACUCAGCAGCAAGGUGCUCUGGACAAUGACUCAACCGCUAGGCACCCAGUGAGGACAUGGAAUUCAAGAUAAAGUGUCUUCCCAGCUCAAAAAGCCUCUUUAACCAGGCAGAAAAGAAGGAAAGGGAUUGUACUGUUGAAUAAGUGCUACACCACAUGAUGAUAGAUAUUGAGGACACCCAGGAAAGGCUGCAACAGACGGAAGGAGCUCUUACUCUCAACUCUAGCUAGUCAGAACAGUUCACUAAGGAGAGCCCUACAAUUUAGACUCAAGUGGCACGUAGAUCUGCUUCUGCCUGGGGAUGAGCAGGCUGAAAAUAAUCUUUCUUCAGUCUUCCACAUCAAGGGUUUAGAGCUUCCUUAUUGCAAACAUUUGAAAAAGGCAGCAAAAGAAAGUCGGGAAUUGGAUGGGUGGGAGGAGGCAAGGGAAUGGAAUUUCCUCCCUUAUUUUUCAAAGGAAAAAUUAAGUCUCUAAUUUUAACUUUUAUUUGCUCAUACACACUUCAAGCUACUUGCCUACAGAAAUGGGAUAAUGGUAAUAGCACUCAGUUAGUCCCUCAUGAGCCUAGGAUAGCUUAGAGAUGGCAGUCAUUCUGCCUCAGCUCUGGAGUGUUGAGAUCACUAACCAGUGCCAUACAGCCAGCUAAGACCUGCUUCUCAGGGCUGUUGUAAGGAUGGUAAGUCAAAAGACAUACAGGGUACAUGCUGUCCUUAGGCCUUGAGAUGCAUGGAGUAUUGAGAUAUCCCCAACAUGCCUAGUACUAUACAUGCUUUGUAUAAUUUUCUUCUCAUUCAUGUGAGCUGAAUCUCUGAACAUAAUGGAAUGUGGUUCACGUGGAAGCCAGAACAGAGGGUCCAGCUCAGAAAUCAUGACAAUAAUACAUGGCUGUUGUCUGAAGCCACUAAACACGUGCUAAGUGACUGGAAACUAAUACAGGCUUUUUUU